UCAUCCAUCUGAGACAUCCUAAGGUAAAGACUUGGGCCUUAGAUUGGUGUCUUUUCUCUGCCAUGCUAUUAUUAACCCAAGGCACACACCGAGUGUACACUAGCGUGCUGCUCCAACAGAACAAUGGCGUCCCGUGUUGGUCUUUCCUCUUGUUUCCAUAAAUGCUAAGAAUUCAUUGGCAAAUCACAGAAUUCCGGUGACAUUAACAGUUAUGGUUCUGCCUUCUCCAGGUGAUUCGAAUUUCUGCCAGAAGUGGAGAGGGCAUUACUGAGAUGUGGGACAUAAUGAGGGAGUUUCAGCACCGAAUGCUGGCCAGUGGGGAGCUGGCCGCCAAGAGACAGACACAGCACAAAGUCUGGAUGUGGAAUCUCAUUCAGGAAAACGUCUUAGAACACUUCAAGACCCAUCCCAGCAUCCGAGAACAGAUUCCUCUGAUGGAGCGAGAGGUUCUCAGUGGAGCCCUCUCCCCAGGACGAGCAGCAGACUUAUUGUUGAAAGCUUUUAAAAGCAGGCACUAAUAAAUUUAUCCUGUGUGGUCACUUUA
RNAcentral lists this long non-coding RNA (544 nucleotides) under Rattus norvegicus (Norway rat). RNAcentral describes it as "long non-coding RNA NONRATT014177". The record is from RNAcentral. Lineage: Eukaryota; Metazoa; Chordata; Mammalia; Rodentia; Muridae.